Molecule: transfer RNA, 72 nt
Filed under: Loxodonta africana (African savanna elephant)
Lineage: Eukaryota; Metazoa; Chordata; Mammalia; Proboscidea; Elephantidae
Rfam family: tRNA
About the family: Transfer RNA (tRNA) molecules are approximately 80 nucleotides in length. Their secondary structure includes four short double-helical elements and three loops (D, anti-codon, and T loops). Further hydrogen bonds mediate the characteristic L-shaped molecular structure. tRNAs have two regions of fundamental functional importance: the anti-codon, which is responsible for specific mRNA codon recognition, and the 3' end, to which the tRNAs corresponding amino acid is attached (by aminoacyl-tRNA synthetases). tRNAs cope with the degeneracy of the genetic code in two manners: having more than one tRNA (with a specific anti-codon) for a particular amino acid; and 'wobble' base-pairing, i.e. permitting non-standard base-pairing at the 3rd anti-codon position.
Source: Rfam by way of RNAcentral
ACUAUUGUGUCUCAACGGUGAAGCGCUCAGCUGCUAACUGAUAGGUUGAUGGUUUGAACCCACCCAGUGGCU